RNAcentral lists this ribosomal RNA (446 nucleotides) under uncultured bacterium. RNAcentral describes it as "partial 16S ribosomal RNA". It matches the Rfam family "Bacterial small subunit ribosomal RNA", at positions 338 to 795 of the family's 1533-position model. The record is from RNAcentral.
CCUACGGGAGGCAGCAGUCGAGAAUCAUUCACAAUGGGGGAAACCCUGAUGGUGCGACGCCGCGUGGGGGAAUGAAGGUCUUCGGAUUGUAAACCCCUGUCAUGUGGGAGCAAAUUAAAAAGAUAGUACCACAAGAGGAAGAGACGGCUAACUCUGUGCCAGCAGCCGCGGUAAUACAGAGGUCUCAAGCGUUGUUCGGAAUCACUGGGCGUAAAGCGUGCGUAGGCUGUUUCGUAAGUCGUGUGUGAAAGGCGAGGGCUCAACCCGCGGACGGCACAUGAUACUGCGAGACUAGAGUAAUGGAGGGGGAACCGGAAUGCUCGGUGUAGCAGUGAAAUGCGUAGAUAUCGAGAGGAACACUCGUGGCGAAGGCGGGUUCCUGGACAUUAACUGACGCUGAGGCACGAAGGCCAGGGGAGCGAAAGGGAUUAGAUACCCGAGUAGUC